AGCACGUUUACUUUACCGCACAUUUAAUUUUAUUUAAGAUAUGGUGCGGGAUUAACGUCCAUACAGCAAGCUAUUUAAUUUAUUUAAAGUAUGGUGCGGGUUUAUCGUCCAUACCAGUAAUUUAUUUAUCAGCAAUUUAUUUUAUGGAUUAAUUGUGCUGUAUGAUGAGUUUUUACAGUGUGCAGAUCAGGACCAGAAGUUCCUUGAUCCUCAUCAUACAAUUACAUCAGGACUUGAAGAUCCUUGAUGAUAAUAUUGAUAUGAGAGCUGGCAGUCUCUCCGGU
RNAcentral lists this long non-coding RNA (284 nucleotides) under Prunus persica (peach). Its description in RNAcentral is "long non-coding RNA (PPER_LNC005859)". The record is from RNAcentral. Lineage: Eukaryota; Viridiplantae; Streptophyta; Magnoliopsida; Rosales; Rosaceae.